RNAcentral lists this ribosomal RNA (203 nucleotides) under uncultured Rhodocyclaceae bacterium. Its description in RNAcentral is "partial 16S ribosomal RNA". It matches the Rfam family "Bacterial small subunit ribosomal RNA", at positions 1180 to 1382 of the family's 1533-position model. Lineage: Bacteria; Pseudomonadati; Pseudomonadota; Betaproteobacteria; Rhodocyclales; Rhodocyclaceae. The record is from RNAcentral.
UGACGUCAAGUCCUCAUGGCCCUUAUGGGUAGGGCUUCACACGUCAUACAAUGGUCGGUACAGAGGGUUGCCAACCCGCGAGGGGGAGCUAAUCCCACAAAGCCGAUCGUAGUCCGGAUCGCAGUCUGCAACUCGACUGCGUGAAGUCGGAAUCGCUAGUAAUCGUGGAUCAGCAUGUCACGGUGAAUACGUUCCCGGGUCUU